RNAcentral lists this ribosomal RNA (671 nucleotides) under Escherichia coli. Its description in RNAcentral is "bacterial SSU rRNA". It matches the Rfam family "Bacterial small subunit ribosomal RNA", at positions 874 to 1533 of the family's 1533-position model. RNAcentral also lists the same sequence under 1 other name. Lineage: Bacteria; Pseudomonadati; Pseudomonadota; Gammaproteobacteria; Enterobacterales; Enterobacteriaceae. The record is from RNAcentral.
UGGGGAGUACGGCCGCAAGGUUAAAACUCAAAUGAAUUGACGGGGGCCCGCACAAGCGGUGGAGCAUGUGGUUUAAUUCGAUGCAACGCGAAGAACCUUACCUGGUCUUGACAUCCACGGAAGUUUUCAGAGAUGAGAAUGUGCCUUCGGGAACCGUGAGACAGGUGCUGCAUGGCUGUCGUCAGCUCGUGUUGUGAAAUGUUGGGUUAAGUCCCGCAACGAGCGCAACCCUUAUCCUUUGUUGCCAGCGGUCCGGCCGGGAACUCAAAGGAGACUGCCAGUGAUAAACUGGAGGAAGGUGGGGAUGACGUCAAGUCAUCAUGGCCCUUACGACCAGGGCUACACACGUGCUACAAUGGCGCAUACAAAGAGAAGCGACCUCGCGAGAGCAAGCGGACCUCAUAAAGUGCGUCGUAGUCCGGAUUGGAGUCUGCAACUCGACUCCAUGAAGUCGGAAUCGCUAGUAAUCGUGGAUCAGAAUGCCACGGUGAAUACGUUCCCGGGCCUUGUACACACCGCCCGUCACACCAUGGGAGUGGGUUGCAAAAGAAGUAGGUAGCUUAACCUUCGGGAGGGCGCUUACCACUUUGUGAUUCAUGACUGGGGUGAAGUCGUAACAAGGUAACCGUAGGGGAACCUGCGGUUGGAUCACCUCCUUACCUUAAAGAAGC